AUUUGGCUCACCCAAUUAACCAACGCCCAACAAAUUGAACUCAACAAUAACUCAUUUACGGGAGAACUUUCAGCAACGUGGUGGUUGAAGAUGACGGCGUUGAGACGAAUCUACGUGUCCAUGAACCAGUUGGCCGGAACCAUUCCUAAUGAGCGAGUUGCCGUUCGAGUCACUCAAUCUCUAUGAGAAUCAAUUAGAAGGCAACUCAUUUUCCGAUGAAAUUGCAAAAACCAUAACCGGUGCUGCAAAUUUUUCGGCUUUGUUUUUGUCAAAGAACAGAUUUUCCAGUACCAUUCCGGAGGAGAUUUGUUUUCUUGAUAAGCUUCUUGAUUUUAUGGGCUAUGAAAAUUAGUUUUCUGGGCCUCUACGGUGAUAUUCCGUCUUUGUAUGCUAAGCCUGGUUCUGUGAUGAGAGAGAUGAGAAGAAAAACAUUGGUUAUGCUUGGCUAUUGAGAUCGAUCUUUGUGCUUGCUGGGCUGGUGCUUAUCGUGGGAGUUCUGUGGUUCUAUUGGAAGUAUAUGAAUUUCAAGAAGGCGAAACAGGCUAUAGAUAGAUCGAAAUGGUCCUUGAUGUUAUUUCAUAAGUUGGGUUUCGAUGAGUACGAGAUAUUGGAUGGUCUUGAUGAAGAUAAUGUCAUUGGAAGUGGGUUGUCUAGAAAGGUUUACAAGGUUGUGCUGAGCAGUGGCGAGGUGGUUGUUGUGAAGAUGAUCAAGAAAAAUUUGAAGCUAGCUGGUGAGAGCAGUGACAUUGAGAAAGACAGUUAUCAAGACAAUGGGUUUGAAGCAGAGAUCGAGACAUUGGGGAAGAUUAGGCAUAAGAACAUUGUUAAGCUAUUUUGUUCAUCUCUGUUCUUGUUGUAGCUAGAAACAACCACUAAAAUGGAGGAAUGAAAGAAUUAGAAGACGACAACAUAAAAAAGACCAAAAAGUCCUCCUAAUUCACGGUCCAUAGAUGGCAUAAGUCACGGAGGACUAAAAGUGUCCAACGAUUAAAAAGCGUGGCUAGAAUCUGACCAUUUUUAUUAUGGAGGACUAAACCUGGCAAACGCCUAAUAAAUCUAGGACCAAAAGUUGGAAUUAACUCAAAGAGAAAUGGCUGAGUGAAGCCAAUAAUCUGUGCCUAUUUACCCAUCAGGGGCAUUCUGAGAAUUGAACUCGGGACCUCUCGCACCCUAAGCGAAAAUCAUACCACUAGACCAAAUGCCCUUUGUUAAUGUUAAUGUCAUCCGUUAUUUUUGA
Ipomoea triloba (trilobed morning glory) is the source of this 1237-nucleotide long non-coding RNA. RefSeq lists it as uncharacterized. Lineage: Eukaryota; Viridiplantae; Streptophyta; Magnoliopsida; Solanales; Convolvulaceae. The record is from RefSeq and is a predicted model, not a curated record. The transcript is spliced from 2 exons.